AAUGGGAUAGCUGGGUCAAAGGGUGGUUCCAUUCCCAGUUUUCUGAGGAAUCUCCAAACUUCUUUCCAUAGUGGUUGCACCAAUUUGCAGUCCCUCCAGCAAU
RNAcentral lists this microRNA precursor (103 nucleotides) under Marmota monax (woodchuck). The record is from RNAcentral. Lineage: Eukaryota; Metazoa; Chordata; Mammalia; Rodentia; Sciuridae.